GAUGAAGAACGUAGCGAAAUGCGAUAAGUAAUGUGAAUUGCAGAAUUCCGUGAAUCAUCGAAUCUUUGAACGCAUAUUGCGCCCUCUGGUAUUCCGGGGGGCAUGCCUGUUCGAGCGUCAUUACAACCCUCAAGCUUUGCUUGGUAUUGGACAUUGCCAGUUUCUGGCAGGUCUUAAAAUCAGUGGCGGUGCCAUUUGGCUUCAAGCGUAGUAAUUCUUCUCGCUUUGGAGAUCCAGGUGGUUACUUGCCAAUAACCCCCAAUUUUUUCAGGUUGACCUCGGAUCAGGUAGGGAUACCCGCUGAACUUAAGCAUAUCAAUAAGCGGAGGA
RNAcentral lists this unclassified non-coding RNA (330 nucleotides) under soil metagenome. Its description in RNAcentral is "partial contains 5.8S ribosomal RNA, internal transcribed spacer 2, and large subunit ribosomal RNA". The stretch from base 1 to 120 matches the Rfam family "5.8S ribosomal RNA", at positions 35 to 154 of the family's 154-position model. The record is from RNAcentral.